AUGGGCUCGCUAGAUGGAGGUCCGGUCACGGGAGCGACGCGGAUUGCGCACGGGCGCGGAGGCGAUGGCCAUGGCUUCUCUGUUUUGAUUCGUUGCCGCGUCGUGGAUGAGGCCAUCAAAGAACCAUUAAGGGAGGCGAAGGGCGAAGAGGAGCCUGCAACACAUGUGCUGGUAGUGGUGGAGGAAGCCCCAACAUCGGUGGCCAUCUGCUUUGUUUUUAUCGUCGCGUCGGCGGAUGAGGGUGUCGAGGUGCAACUUCGGGAGGCAGAGGUCGACGAGGAGCCGCUGAUGCAGGUGUUCUACUAG
This 306-nucleotide ribosomal RNA is filed under the name Triticum aestivum (bread wheat). RNAcentral describes it as "partial small subunit ribosomal RNA". Lineage: Eukaryota; Viridiplantae; Streptophyta; Magnoliopsida; Poales; Poaceae. The record is from RNAcentral.